This 253-nucleotide non-coding RNA is filed under the name bacterium. RNAcentral describes it as "partial 16S ribosomal RNA". It matches the Rfam family "Bacterial small subunit ribosomal RNA", at positions 524 to 776 of the family's 1533-position model. RNAcentral also lists the same sequence under 2 other names. The record is from RNAcentral.
UACGGAGGGUGCAAGCGUUAUCCGGAUUCACUGGGUUUAAAGGGUGCGUAGGUGGAUAUUUAAGUCAGUGGUGAAAUCUCCGAGCUUAACUCGGAAACUGCCAUUGAUACUAUUUAUCUUGAAUGCCCUGGAGGUAAGCGGAAUAUGUCAUGUAGCGGUGAAAUGCUUAGAUAUGACAUAGAACACCAAUUGCGAAGGCAGCUUACUACGGGGUGAUUGACACUGAGGCACGAAAGCGUGGGGAUCAAACAGG